Long non-coding RNA from Syngnathoides biaculeatus (alligator pipefish), 222 nucleotides. RefSeq lists it as uncharacterized. Lineage: Eukaryota; Metazoa; Chordata; Actinopteri; Syngnathiformes; Syngnathidae. The record is from RefSeq and is a predicted model, not a curated record. The transcript is spliced from 2 exons.
UUCCAGAGACACAUCAUUGCCAUCAAUAUCCUUGGCGGAGAACUCAUAGAUGGACUUGGCACUUUGCCAGUCACUCACCUGCGCACACUGGAUGGAGGUGAAGAAGCAGAAAGGAUGGCGCUGGCUACCUGGAGGAAAGAUUGGGUUUGGCCUUCAAACUGGACAAACAUACAUACAUACUGUAUAUGUAUACAUACAUAAAAAAAGUUUCUUUCCUACAUG